AUAUAUUUGCAGCACUUUGGUUUCCGGAUGUUUUGUCCGGGAUUAAAAGGGAACGGAGUGCAAUUCUCCGACUGUCCCCGCAACUGUAAAUCGUAAUUUGAGAUUUUGUAAUCUUUGCCAUUGCUCGCCACAGGCGCGUGAGAAGGCGCAAAAUCAGCGAAAGUCAGGAGACCUGCCAAGGAUAAUUUUUAAAU
Molecule: non-coding RNA, 194 nt
Filed under: Epilithonimonas mollis
Lineage: Bacteria; Pseudomonadati; Bacteroidota; Flavobacteriia; Flavobacteriales; Weeksellaceae
Source: RNAcentral